UCGGAAAAUUCCAAAAAGCUUAUCAAUUUCAGUUCUCUCUAGACUCUCACACACUCACAGCCCCUCUUUCUCUCUCUCUCUGUGAAGUUCUCUUCCAUCGGAUGUGGGUUUCAUACGUGACUGAACAAACAGUUCUCUCUCCAUCUCACGUUCUAGCGCGCAGCGAGUAAAGACUUGAAAGUUCUAGGAGAUGCAACUGAAGUGACUCAGGCAGCGGCUGAAGGGGCACCCAUCCCAGUCUUACAGCGAUACGUCCCACAUUUGUGUCCACCUGCGGAACAUCUCUCAACCAUUCAAGAUCAAUGCUCCCGUGAUCUCUAACCAGUCGGUUAAGGAAAUCCUGCACAUAUUUUCAGUGAA
Corylus avellana is the source of this 360-nucleotide long non-coding RNA. RefSeq lists it as uncharacterized. Lineage: Eukaryota; Viridiplantae; Streptophyta; Magnoliopsida; Fagales; Betulaceae. The record is from RefSeq and is a predicted model, not a curated record.